This 877-nucleotide long non-coding RNA is filed under the name Nicotiana benthamiana. RNAcentral's name for it is "long non-coding RNA (NBEN_LNC041142)". Lineage: Eukaryota; Viridiplantae; Streptophyta; Magnoliopsida; Solanales; Solanaceae. The record is from RNAcentral.
AUAGGUGGAACCUCUGUGUUGGAGUCGCGAACAUACGCUAGAUAUGCUAGACACCCCUUCUCGACCAUACGUCGAGCCUUGACAUAUGAAAUAACACUCCGGGUGGCAUGACCUGGGGUCCCACUACACUCAAGUCGGGGUAGAUCUAGCAAAUCCUAAGUCACGGCCUUGGCGUGACAAUCUAAAAUAGCAUGAUAUGAGGACAACCAAUCCAUCCCCAACAUAACGUCAAAAUCCACCAUAUCUAAGAGCUAUAAGUCAACACGGGUCUCAAGACCCUCAAAUACCAUCAGACAUGAAUGAUGCACUCGGUUGACCACUAUAGAAUCACCAACCGGUGUGGACACAUAUACAGGAAUACCCAAAAUACAUAAGCUUUUGAGAGCCAAAUUCUUGUCGAAAGUUGUACAAUAGAAUCACCAACCGGUGUGGACACAUAUACAGGAAUACCCAAAUCCUCACUAGGCAUGAUCAAAUAGGGUGCAAAAUAGGAUGACACAUAAGAAUAAGCGGAUCCGGGUCAAAUAACACAGAAGCACCCCUAUCACAAACCAGUAUAGUACAUGUUAUCACAAUACCUAAUGACUCGGCCUCCGGCUUGGCUGGCAAAGCAUAACAACGGGGCUGGCCCCCACAUCCCCUUAUCGUGUCUGUGGGACGAUCGGCUGUGGGAUGACCCCUGCCUCUAGCGGUAUAAGCUCCACCUAUAUUCUCCCUACCUCCACCUCUAUGGCCUCUACCCCCGCCUCUAGCUGGCUGGGCGACCUGUGGAUCACCUGCUGCCGGAAUCAUGGGAUGAGGACCCUGCUGCUAUGACCGAGCACCCCUCAACUCGGGCAAUACCUCCGGAUGUGGCUGAGAUCUCCACACUCAUAAU